Long non-coding RNA from Terrapene triunguis (Three-toed box turtle), 891 nucleotides. RefSeq lists it as uncharacterized. The transcript has 3 exons. Lineage: Eukaryota; Metazoa; Chordata; Testudines; Emydidae. The record is from RefSeq and is a predicted model, not a curated record.
AACACUUUGAACUGGAGGCAGGUUCGGCGUCUACUUAAACAGGGAUUGUAAAACCACCUGUCCAAAUCUGGCAUCAUCUCUCGAUUGACGAGAGACGGCAUAGUGAGAGGCAAAGGUAUGGACCGAUGAUCACGUUGCCAUCUUACAAAUGUCCAGGAUGGACACAUGAGCUGGAAAAGCUGCCGGUGACCUAGCUGAGUGAGCUACAACUUUACUUGAAGGAGCAUUAUCAGCCAAUCGGUAGCAAUAAAUUAAUAUAGCUGGAAAUCCAGACAGCGAUCUACUGCGUGGCCCUUUACUCUGUCUGAAACUGCAAUGAAGAGAUGAAACAUAAACCUGAAUGGCCCAGUCUGAUCCAGAUAAAAAGCCAAAGCUCUUCCGACAUUUAGAGUAUGGAGUUUUUCCUCCCAUUUACUCAAAUGAGGCUUUGGAAAGAAAGUUGAAACAAAAGAUAGUCCAAGGUAUGGUAAACUGGAGCUUGAACUGGGGCAACACCUCUUUGAGUAGACCCAACAGAGAAUCUAUUCCAUUUUGCAAGAGGUCCACUCAGGAAGUUCCCCACUGCUGGAAUAUGGACCUGGACACAUUUGGGGGAAGAGAUCACGUGUGGUGACCUGCAAAAGACCUGAUCAGGUAGUCUGCCAGAGUGUUUUGAACUCCCAGAAGGUAAGCAGCUUUCGGGACGGAACUGGCAAUGCAAAAUUUCCAAAGGAUUGCCUCCUGGCAUAACUUCAUCGAUCGAGCCCUCCUUGUUUGUCUACAUAGAACAUGGCUGCUGUGUUGUCUGAAUAUCAACAAAUUCCACCCCAAUAUGUUGAAAGAACAUCAGGCAGGCAAACAGAUGGCCUGAAGCUCCCUGAUAUUUAUAUGGAGGCUUAGACCUGUGGAGAC